GACGAACGCUGGCGGCGUGCUUAACACAUGCAAGUCGAACGGAAAGGCCCUGCUUGCAGGGUACUCGAGUGGCGAACGGGUGAGUAACACGUGGGUGAUCUGCCCUGCACUUCGGGAUAAGCCUGGGAAACUGGGUCUAAUACCGGAUAGGAGCCAUUUUUAGUGUGAUGGUUGGAAAGUUUUUUUCGGUGUAGGAUGAGCUCGCCGCCUAUCAGCUUUUUGGUGGGGUAAUGGCCUACCAAGGCGGCGACGGGUAGCCGGCCUGAGAGGGUGGACGGCCACAUUGGGACUGAGAUACGGCCCAGACUCCUAAGGGAGGCAGAAGUGGGGAAGAUUGCACAAUGGGCGCAAGCCUGAUGCAGCGACGCCGCGUGGGGGAUGACGGCCUUCGGGUUGUAAACGCCUUUCGCUAGGGACGAAGCUGUUUGUGACGGUACCUAGAGAAGAAGCACCGGCUAACUACGUG
Molecule: ribosomal RNA, 466 nt
Filed under: uncultured bacterium
Lineage: Bacteria
Description: partial 16S ribosomal RNA
Rfam family: Bacterial small subunit ribosomal RNA
Source: RNAcentral